This 854-nucleotide ribosomal RNA is filed under the name uncultured bacterium. RNAcentral's name for it is "bacterial SSU rRNA". It matches the Rfam family "Bacterial small subunit ribosomal RNA", at positions 8 to 858 of the family's 1533-position model. The record is from RNAcentral.
AGAGUUUGAUCAUGGCUCAGGAUGGACGCUGGCGGCUUGCUUGACACAUGCAAGUCGAGCGAAGCGCUUUUACUUGGAUUUCUUCGGAAUGCACGAGUAUUGUGACUGAGCGGCGGACGGGUGAGUAACGCGUGGGUAACCUGCCUCAUACAGGGGGAUAACAGUUAGAAAUGACUGCUAAUACCGCAUAAGACCACAGCACCGCAUGGUGCAGAGGUAAAAACUCCGGUGGUAUGAGAUGGACCCGCGUCUGAUUAGCUGGUUGGUGGGGUAACGGCCUACCAAGGCGACGAUCAGUAGCCGGCCUGAGAGGGCGACCGGCCACAUUGGGACUGAGACACGGCCCAAACUCCUACGGGAGGCAGCAGUGGGGAAUAUUGCACAAUGGGGGAAACCCUGAUGCAGCGACGCCGCGUGAAGGAAGAAGUUUUCGGUAUGUAAACUUCUAUCAGCAGGGAAGAAAAUGACGGUACCUGACUUAAGAAGCCCCGGCUAACUACGUGCCAGCAGCCGCGGUAAUACGUAGGGGGCAAGCGUUAUCCGGAUUUACUGGGUGUAAAGGGAGCGUAGACGGAGAGGCAAGUCUGAUGUGAAAACCCGGGGCUCAACCCCGGGACUGCAUUGGAAACUGUUUUUCUAGAGUGUCGGAGAGGUAAGCGGAAUUCCUAGUGUAGCGGUGAAAUGCGUAGAUAUUAGGAGGAACACCAGUGGCGAAGGCGGCUUACUGGACGAUGACUGACGUUGAGGCUCGAAAGCGUGGGGAGCAAACAGGAUUAGAUACCCUGGUAGUCCACGCCGUAAACGAUGACUACUAGGUGUCGGGUGGCAAAGCCAUUCGGUGCCGCAGCCAACGC